This 962-nucleotide ribosomal RNA is filed under the name Basidiophora entospora. RNAcentral's name for it is "LSU rRNA". It matches the Rfam family "Eukaryotic large subunit ribosomal RNA", at positions 81 to 839 of the family's 3401-position model. Lineage: Eukaryota; Oomycota; Peronosporomycetes; Peronosporales; Peronosporaceae. The record is from RNAcentral.
UAGUACGCGAGUGAAGCGGGAUGAGCUCAAGCUUAAAAUCUCCAUACAAAUUUUGUAUGGCGAAUUGUAGUCUAUAGAUGCGUGAUCAGCGCGUGCACUUAGAGUAAGUUCCUUGGAAGAGGACAGCAUGGAGGGUAAUACUCCCGUCUAUCUCUAAGUUGCGUGUGCGUACGAUCCGUUUUCUUUGAGUCGCGUUGUUUGAGAAUGCAGCGCAAAGUAGGUGGUAAAUUCCAUCUAAAGCUAAAUAUUGGUGCGAGACCGAUAGCAUACAAGUACCGUGAGGGAAAGAUGAAAAGAACUUUGAAAAGAGAGUUAAAGAGUACCUGAAACUGCUGAAAGGUAACCAAAUCGUUUCCAGUGUCUAUAAUCCGUGGUAUAUUUCAUUGACGAGUGUGUUUGUGCAUGUACUAUGGCAGCUUCCUUUUUGGUAGCGCUUUGUGUGUGUGCGAUGUGUGCUUGUUGGUGCCCUGUACUGCGGUGGGACGUCAAGGUCAGUUCGUAUACUGCGACAAAUGACUGUUGAGGAGGUAGGGCUUACGCUUGCGUUUGUCUGUUAUAUCUUGAUAGACUAGUAGUUGCGGUUGGGACUGAGGUGCCUAUAACAUGCUUUUUGAGAAGGAUUGAAUCUCCGUGUGCGCCGUGUGCAAAUAGCUUGCUAUGUGCGUGUGGUUGUAUGUGGAUUGAUACGAACCUUAUCUUGUUGCUGUUCGGGACGUUGACGAAAUGGAACGAUUUGACCCGUCUUGAAACACGGACCAAGGAGUCUAACAUAUGUGCAAGUGUUAGGGUGUGGAAACCCAAGCGCGUAAUGAAAGUAAAGGAUAGCGUAAGCUGUCUGAGGUAGGAAACGCUGUGAAUUUUGGUUUGCGGUGUGGCACUAUCGACCGAUCAUGAACCUUCGUGGUGAAAGAUUUGAGUUUGAGCACAUAUGUUGGUACCCGAAAGAUGGUGAACUAUGCCUG